RNAcentral lists this long non-coding RNA (5706 nucleotides) under Triticum aestivum (bread wheat). RNAcentral's name for it is "long non-coding RNA (TAES_LNC003365)". The record is from RNAcentral. Lineage: Eukaryota; Viridiplantae; Streptophyta; Magnoliopsida; Poales; Poaceae.
CACUAUAAUCGUCAAGACUUCUACUAUGUGGCUAACGAGAAGAGAGAAGGGCAUGAAAGAAAUACGUCAAGGCUUGAGCGUGAAGGAAAGAAGUAAUGUAGGGGAGCAAACUAAAAGAAGAGGAGGAUCUUCUUGGGAAGAAAGAAGAAAGGAGGAGGGCCAAAGUAAAAAAAGACAGAACAGAGGAGGGGAUCAAAAAUCCCUAGCGCAGCCGAUCCCCAUCAGGCCUGCAUCUCACCUCUCUCCCUCACCCCUCCUUCUCCACCACCGGCCGUCGCCGCGGCCAGGCCGGCGUGGCGGUGCGCCUGCUGCUCCUCCACUCAGCCACGAGCACCAUCCGCCGCACCAUCCAUCCAUCCCAGCCGCGCCGUGCCAUCCAUCCACCACUCCACCAGCGUCACUAGCUCCACUUCACCACCGCGCCUCACCAGCGCCCACCUCGCGCGCCCCUCCUGCCGCUUCCUCUCUGAACCCGCUGUUGCUGCUGCAUCUUCCUUCUUCCUCUCGACCUCCUGUUGCUCUUCUCCAAGCACCGCUGCUGCUCCUUCCUUGCAACCCCCCUGCUGUUGUUCAUCCUCUCCACCUCCUUGCGCCUCCCUGCCGGUACCCUUCUCUGCUCAAAACUGCUGCUGCUUGUGCACUCCAGCUUCUCCUUCUUCUCCUGCCUACUGCUGGUUCUUCUUCCCCACAUCACUUUUGCUGCUCCUCUUCUCUGCCUCGCUACUGUUCUUCUUACCUGAACCUCAAAAUUGCUGCUGUUCUCUUCUAAACAACAAAACUGCUGCUACUACUACCUCAACCUCCUAUUGCUUUCUUUCUUUCUCACUCUCUUUUAAAUUUCUGUAAGAUUGAGACGCAUGUGAUUUGUAUUAUUCAGAUUUGAUAAGUGUUAGUAAUCUACUGUUGUUCAGUUCAGACUUCCUGUGUGUGUUAAUUAGUUAAAAUUGUCACUUGUGUACUGCUUGUUGCAGAUUCUUGCUCAUUUUUGUUGUCUAUGUGUUAGCUCAUGCAUCUGAGAAUUAUAAAGACAUAUGUGUGUGUGGUUGAUGUGAAACAAUUAUAUAUAUGUCUCAUGUUUGUUAGUUAGUGGUUUGUAUAAAUUCAGAUUACUACUUGUGAUUUAAUUUUGUAUUGAAAUUGUUCUCUGUGGUAGUCAGUUGUGUGAUCAUUCAAUUUUCAGUCUAUGUAUUAGCUCUGUACCUGUAAUAUAUGUUGUGACAUGAAGCAUUUUCAUCCUUGUCCAUUAUCUUGUUUCUUCACUCUGUCAUACGCUUGUUAGAUAAAUAUAUGUGUUCAUGUCCUGUUGUUCCCUUUUGUGUUAGCAUUUUAGUUUCUCAAGUAACAGGAAAACACCAAAAAAGACAAUAUAGACAAUCUGAACCUCCCCUUUGCUUAUUUUACAUUUUCUUUGGCGACGAUCUUCGGGAACUACCUUGUUAGUUUAGGUUUAUUUUCUUGCAUUUAUAAUCUGAGUUCUGUCACCUAGCUUUAGCCGAGCAUUGUUGCUGUCGCCUAGUCCCUGUGGAGAACACGACACUCACAGUUCGGGUGAAAUAUCCCGCAGUACUUUCAAUCGAUCAUUUUGGCGCCGUUGCCGGGGACUAGCGUCGUGUGACCGUGUUAGGCUAUAGACUAGGUUUUGCUUCUGUUUCUAUCUGGUGCCAUAUAUUUGUGAUAUAUCUCUUACCCCUAACCACUGUUCUAGUUAUCUUCUCUUUCUUUUCUUGUUCAUUUUGUAGGUUGAAUUGUCUUCUCGGAUAUGGCUUACUAUUCAGAUCAUCAUGCUUAUGCGAGCAACACUACAAACAACACGGAAAGUAUUCAAGAACUGAUAAGUAAGAUUUCCCAUCAAUUAGAUGAUUUAGCUCAGCAGCGAGGAGUAGUUUUUGAGGAUAGGCCUAGUUCUUAUUAUCCUUAUUCCGGAAGCAAUCCUUAUGUUGCUCCUACAUGCCAUAUUUGUGGAUUUCAGGGCCAUUCGCCCGCUGAAUGUCAGCGUGGUUACUCUCACACUCCAGAUUGUUUUGGCAUGAGCUUCGCUCAAGAGCAUAGCUCAUACCAAAACAAUUACUCACAUGGGUGUCCUGAAAACCCGAAUAUGUCAUAUAGGAGCAACAACCCCGAGAUCUCACCGCUUGCUUCUAGUAAUCAUAUGCAGGGAUUUAGGUAUGAAGAGGAGAGCCACAGCUAUGCUCCACAACAGUCUUAUUCAGCUCCUAUUCAUAUACCUCAGCACGAGGAGAUGUUGCCAAUGGAGUUAAAUGGUCCUCCAUUUGGUCAACCAACACCUUCAACACAAGUGCCUACUCAAGAUGAGUUUGAUGACAUAGACAAGUUCACACUUUUGAGUCUUGAGUUCAGUUGGAGUGCCGAGGAUGAUCCUAUUAGGAAGGUUAUACUAGAUGAAAUGAAGAAGAUCAAGAGUGGGAAUGAGCUAGUGGAAGAAGUAAAGAAGAUUGAGAAGAACAUCAACGCUGGCAGCUCUAUUUCUUCACAGCUAGAGCUGAGUGUUGCUGAGAUUCCCCUUGAUACAUGUGAGGUUCCAACACCUUCACAUUUCGUUGAGCAAGUUAGCAAGUGCCUUGAGCAAGAGAUACCUCAGAUUGAAGAAGAUGAACUAGAAGACAAGGACCAAGAUGGUCAAGAGCUGCAAUUCCCAAGUGAUCAAGUUGAAGACUCAUCAUCUACUACUGAAGAACUACAAGAAGCUGCUGUAGAUAAAGAUGAAGAUCAUGAGAUUCAUUUGCCUAUUGUCAUACCAGAGCGUGAUGUGUCAGGUUUACUCAAUCCUCUUGAUGACAUGAUGCCUUGUGAUUUCUUUGCUACUACCUUGCUUUACAUGAUACUAUCACUUAAGAUUGAUUUGAAAACUCAUUUGCUUGGAUAUGAUGAUAUAUACCCUGUUAGUGGUAUUACUCUCAUUUGUGAUGAUCAUAGUUACUUUCCUCGUGCUAAUCCUAUGCUUAAUGAAACAUAUCACUCCCAUGCUAGUCUUGCACUUAAUGAUAAAUGUCAUCCUCGUGUGAGUAUUGACCAUGCUGAUUUCUGCCAUCCUAAACAUGUGCUUUAUAGUUAUGCUUAUAUAAUUGGAUAUUCCAUUGAUGACUUGGAGGGCAUCGACCGUAUCACUUGUAGUUGUUUGUGUGAGUCCUAUUUCAGGCUUUUGCUACUGCACUGUUUACUACAUGCUGACCAGGUUUGAGGUGACAUUCCUUGGGAUCCUGGUGGAGUCACAGCAUGGCGAUGAGGGGAGCACAAACAGGGAACACAAACAGAGAAGAGUGGAGAGAAGAAAGUAGGAGAGAAGAGUAUACAAAUACCAGGUGAUUCUGUUCCACUUGAAGCAACCUUUAGAAAAUUUAGUACGAGAACUGGCAUUUUAUUGCAUUGAAACGCUUUUUGCAUUGUGACACCUUACUCUUCACUGCAAAGUAGGAUUCACUCCAAGAAGAUUGUUGAUUCUCUUAAUACUAAAACUAUGCAGCAGUAUUCUUCUUAUGGUAAUUUGUGAUAAUGAAUACUUUAUACCUCCAUGUAAAUGUUCAAUGGGAAUGCCUUGAGUCUAAGUGAAACCUACUAAUGAAUUGAUGUGCUGUGUCUGACUGUCCCACGUUAAGCUAAGUAACUGGUGGCACUUAAGUAGUAGCUAUGAUCUCUGGAUCUGUAGUAUGUGAAAAACAGUGCCAUUAGUUAUGGAUUCCUCUUUCAAUUAUUCCUGUUUUACUUAAGCUAAGUAAUUUUCAAAUAACUAAAUAAAAUAAUUAUAAUAUUUUAAGUCCGAUCGACCUAUAGUAGCAUGUCAUGUUCCCUGGAUCGGUGGCUUGUGAAAUCUGGUAGAUUGGACUCUAAAAAAAAAUUAUAUAAAAAUGCUAUAAUUUGUCGAACCAGGUGUAUACCAUGUUCUCGGGAUCGGUGGUAUGUUCCUUUGGGGAGAUAACAAAAAAAUAUACUAAUAAUUUGGUCGAGCCAGGUGUAUACCAUGUUCUCGGGAUCGGUGGUAUGUUCCUUUGGUGAGACUGAUAUAAUAUCAUCACUUGUGCUUUAAAUUCAAUAAGUAACUUGUUUUUCUAAUUGAUUUUGGGGUCCCAGCUUAUCUCAGGGCUGAAGACAGAGCCAGCUCUUGAUUAUUAGUAUUCACUUUGACUCAAGGCCAUUGACUUGGAACAUUUACAGUGUGUUAUAAAAUAUUUCUUAUCACAAUUUAGCUUCAGUAGAGUACAUUUGCUUAGUUCCAGUAUUGUCGGAAUUACUAUCUAUCGGAAAGUGCAUAUUUACUAGGCAGUGUGAGUUGUGUCACCAUCAAAUUUUUUUUCCUUUGCUCGAGGACAAGCAAAGAUUUAAGUGUGGGGGAACUUGAUAAGCACAUUUCUUAUAUACUAUUUGGGCACACAAAUUCACCUUUUAUUGAGAUAUAUCCAUCCAUUCUUGCUAUGACUUGUUGAAUAUUUGAAUGAUAACCAUAAAAGAGAAUGUUGACUAGUGAAUUGUUUAUUUUGCAGAAAAGUGCGCAAAUGCACUAUAAUCGUCAAGACUUCUACUAUGUGGCUAACGAGAAGAGAGAAGGGCAUGAAAGAAAUACGUCAAGGCUUGAGCGUGAAGGAAAGAAGUAAUGUAGGGGAGCAAACUAAAAGAAGAGGAGGAUCUUCUUGGGAAGAAAGAAGAAAGGAGGAGGGCCAAAGUAAAAAAAGACAAAACAGAGGAGGGGAUCAAAAAUCCCUAGCGCAGCCGAUCCCCAUCAGGCCUCGCAUCUCACCUCUCUCCCUCACCCCUCCUUCUCCACCACCGGCCGUCGCCGCGGCCAGGCCGGCGUGGCGGUGCGCCUGCUGCUCCUCCACUCAGCCACGAGCACCAUCCGCCGCACCAUCCAUCCAUCCCAGCCGCGCCGCGCCAUCCAUCCACCACUCCACCAGCGUCACCAGCUCCACUUCACCACCGCGCCUCCACCAGCGCCCACCUCGCGCGCCCCUCCUGCCGCUUCCUCUCUGAACCUGCUAUUGCUGCUGCAUCUUCCUUCUUCCUCUUGACCUCCUGUUGCUCUUCUCCAAGCACCGCUGCUGCUCCUUCCUUGCAACCCCCCUGUUGUUGUUCAUCCUCUCCACCUCCUUGCGCCUCCCUGCCGGUACCCUUCUCUGCUGAAAACUGCUGCUGCUUGUGCGCUCCAGCUGCUCCUUCUUCUCCUGCCUACUGCUAGUUCUUCUUCCCCACAUCACUUUUGCUGCUCCUCUUCUCUGCCUCGCUACUGUUCUUCUUACCUGAACCUCAAAAUUGUUGCUGUUCUCUUCUAAACAACAAAACUGCUGCUACUACUACCUCAACCUCCUGUUGCUUUCUUUCUUUCUCACUCUCUUUGAAAUUUCUGUAAGAUUGAGACGCAUAUGAUUUGUAUUAUUCAGAUUUGAUAAGUGUUAGUAAUCUACUGUUGUUCAGUUCAGACUUCCUGUGUGUGUUAAUUAGUUAAAAUUGUCACUUCUGUACUGCUUGUUGCAGAUUCUUGAUCAUUUUUGUUAUCUAUGUGUUAGCUCAUGCAUCUGAGAAUUAUAAAGACUGUGUGGUUGAUGUGAAACAAUUAUAUAUAUGUCUCCUGUUUGUUAGUUAGUGGUUUGUAUAAAUUCGGAUUACUACUUGUGAUUUAAUUUUGUAUUGAAAUUGUUCUCUGUGGUAGUCAGUUGUGUGAUCAUUCAAUUUUCAGUCUAUGUAUUAGCUCUGUAC